Molecule: long non-coding RNA, 153 nt
Organism: Magnolia sinica
Lineage: Eukaryota; Viridiplantae; Streptophyta; Magnoliopsida; Magnoliales; Magnoliaceae
Exons: 3
Source: RefSeq, a predicted model, not a curated record
GUUAAGGUUUAGGGAAUUGAGAAUAGGUUAAGGUUUAGGUUAAGGAGUUGAGAUUAUGAUUAGGUGUAGGUUUAGGUAUAGGGAUUUGAGAAUACAUUUAGGUUUUAGGUUUAAAUUUAGGUUUAAGUUUAGGUUUAGGUUUAGGUUAUAGGU